RNAcentral lists this transfer RNA (63 nucleotides) under Ashinkailepas seepiophila. Its description in RNAcentral is "tRNA-Pro". The record is from RNAcentral. Lineage: Eukaryota; Metazoa; Arthropoda; Thecostraca; Neolepadidae. RNAcentral also lists the same sequence under 1 other name.
CAGGAAGUAGUUUAAUUAAAAAUUUAAGUUUUGGAAAUUUAAGAUGCUUUAGGGUCUUCUUGA